GGACCUGGGCCGCAUAGGAUCACUUAGGAUGGUGUUGAGGUGGAUACCACUCCGACUACAACCGCGUAGUACGAGUCGCCCAUCUCUACCCCGAAAUUUCUUCCUUCACGUCAAAGGUACCCACCCCGGUCUGCAACCGCGCGACACGGGUCGGUUCCUUGACGAAGCCGGAGUCAUGGGUAACUCGACCUAGCCACAACCUUGUU
RNAcentral lists this long non-coding RNA (206 nucleotides) under Eucalyptus grandis. RNAcentral's name for it is "long non-coding RNA (EGRA_LNC000143)". Lineage: Eukaryota; Viridiplantae; Streptophyta; Magnoliopsida; Myrtales; Myrtaceae. The record is from RNAcentral.